Molecule: ribosomal RNA, 468 nt
Filed under: uncultured bacterium
Lineage: Bacteria
Description: partial 16S ribosomal RNA
Rfam family: Bacterial small subunit ribosomal RNA
Source: RNAcentral
GACGAACGCUGGCGGCAUGCUUAACACAUGCAAGUCGAACGGAAAGGCCCUGCUUUUGUGGGGUGCUCGAGUGGCGAACGGGUGAGUAACACGUGAGUAACCUGCCCUUGACUUUGGGAUAACUUCAGGAAACUGGGGCUAAUACCGGAUAGGAGCUCCUGCUGCAUGGUGGGGGUUGGAAAGUUUCGGCGGUUGGGGAUGGACUCGCGGCUUAUCAGCUUGUUGGUGGGGUAGUGGCUUACCAAGGCUUUGACGGGUAGCCGGCCUGAGAGGGUGACCGGCCACAUUGGGACUGAGAUACGGCCCAGACUCCUACGGGAGGCAGCAGUGGGGAAUAUUGCACAAUGGGCGGAAGCCUGAUGCAGCAACGCCGCGUGCGGGAUGACGGCCUUCGGGUUGUAAACCGCUUUCGCCUGUGACGAAGCGUGAGUGACGGUAAUGGGUAAAGAAGCACCGGCUAACUACGUG